This is a long non-coding RNA of Etheostoma spectabile (orangethroat darter), 137 nucleotides long. RefSeq lists it as uncharacterized. The record is from RefSeq and is a predicted model, not a curated record. Lineage: Eukaryota; Metazoa; Chordata; Actinopteri; Perciformes; Percidae. The transcript has 4 exons.
GGUGGAGGAAGUACAGAUUUAGAGUUUGAAUUGUGUGAAGCUCCAAAUUCCCACACUGUGUGACAGUGUUACAUUACACAUGAAUGCAUACAUUUAAGUCACAAGUUCGAAUUUUAGUCCCGUUCUUGCAGCCCAAA